UACGUAGGGUGCGAGCGUUGUCCGGAAUUACUGGGCGUAAAGAGCUCGUAGGUGGUUUGUCGCGUUGUUCGUGAAAACUCACAGCUUAACUGUGGGCGUGCGGGCGAUACGGGCAGACUGGAGUACUGCAGGGGAGACUGGAAUUCCUGGUGUAGCGGUGGAAUGCGCAGAUAUCAGGAGGAACACCGGUGGCGAAGGCGGGUCGCUGGGCUGAUACUGACGCUGAGGCGCGAAAGCCAGGGGAGCGAACGGG
RNAcentral lists this ribosomal RNA (253 nucleotides) under uncultured bacterium. RNAcentral describes it as "partial 16S ribosomal RNA". It matches the Rfam family "Bacterial small subunit ribosomal RNA", at positions 524 to 776 of the family's 1533-position model. The record is from RNAcentral.